RNAcentral lists this ribosomal RNA (235 nucleotides) under uncultured Glomus. RNAcentral describes it as "partial 18S ribosomal RNA". It matches the Rfam family "Eukaryotic small subunit ribosomal RNA", at positions 548 to 785 of the family's 1831-position model. Lineage: Eukaryota; Fungi; Glomeromycota; Glomeromycetes; Glomerales; Glomeraceae. The record is from RNAcentral.
UUGGAGGGCAAGUCUGGUGCCAGCAGCCGCGGUAAUUCCAGCUCCAAUAGCGUAUAUUAAAGUUGUUGCAGUUAAAAAGCUCGUAGUUGAAUUUCGGGAUCAGUACGCUGGUCGUGCCUUCGGUAUGCACUGGUGUCACUGGUUCCUACCUUCUGAAGAACCGUCAUGCCAUUCAGUUGGUGUGGCGGGGAAUCAGGACUGUUACUUUGAAAAAAUUAGAGUGUUUAAAGCAGGC